Arabis alpina (gray rockcress) is the source of this 100-nucleotide small nucleolar RNA. It matches the Rfam family "Brassica rapa small nucleolar RNA 775". From Rfam's summary of the family: Name based on close proximity to miR775. Precursors of both are encoded by a single gene sno-miR775. The record is from Rfam. Lineage: Eukaryota; Viridiplantae; Streptophyta; Magnoliopsida; Brassicales; Brassicaceae.
AUGAUUAAUGAUAGAUUAAGAAAAUUGGGGUUUUGAUAAGAUGCCUCUUCUUUCAGCUAGCAAGAUCCAUUCUUGUUAGCUUUGUUCUGGAGGCACAUAU